AUACGUAGGGGGCGAGCGUUGUCCGGAAUGAUUGGGCGUAAAGGGCGCGUAGGCGGCCCGGUAAGUCUGGAGUGAAAGUCCUGUUUUUAAGAUGGGAAUUGCUUUGGAUACUGAUCAGCUUGAGUGCGGAAGAGGUAAGUGGAAUUCCCAGUGUAGCGGUGAAAUGCGUAGAGAUUGGGAGGAACACCAGUGGCGAAGGCGACUUACUGGGCCGUAACUGACGCUGAGGCGCGAAAGCGUGGGGAGCGAACAGGAUUAGAUACCCUGGUAGUCCACGCGGUAAACGAUGAAUGCUAGGUGUUGCGGGUAUCGACCCCUGCAGUGCCGGAGUAAACACAAUAAGCAUUCCGCCUGGGGAGUACGGCCGCAAGGUUGAAACUCAAAGGAAUUGACGGGG
RNAcentral lists this ribosomal RNA (397 nucleotides) under uncultured bacterium. Its description in RNAcentral is "partial 16S ribosomal RNA". It matches the Rfam family "Bacterial small subunit ribosomal RNA", at positions 523 to 918 of the family's 1533-position model. The record is from RNAcentral.